UACGGAGGAUCCGAGCGUUAUCCGGAAUUAUUGGGUUUAAAGGGUGCGUAGGCGGCCAUUUAAGUCAGCGGUGAAAUUUUGCAGCUUAACUGUAACAGUGCCGUUGAUACUGUUUGGCUAGGAUUUGGUUGUAGUGUGCGGAAUGUGUAGUGUAGCGGUGAAAUGCUUAGAUAUCACAAAGAACACCGAUUGCGAAGGCAGCACACUAAGUCAUUAUUGACGCUGAGGCACGAAAGUGUGGGGAUCAAACAGGAUUAGAUA
This 261-nucleotide ribosomal RNA is filed under the name uncultured prokaryote. RNAcentral describes it as "partial 16S ribosomal RNA". It matches the Rfam family "Bacterial small subunit ribosomal RNA", at positions 524 to 784 of the family's 1533-position model. The record is from RNAcentral.